GUGUAUGUAUUUGAGAGAAGAGUUUCAUUCAACACUUGGUGGGAAGGCACGGAUUUCAUUGUAGAAAUAAUUUCUUUUCUUUCUUUAGAUGAAGUCACGUCCUGGAAUGGAUAGCAAUUUAAGAGCAAUUUAAUUUUCAAUUAGAGAGCUGGAAGUGCACGGCCUAGUUAGGUGCAAACAGCGGCAUUUUCAUUUUCUUUUAGAAAAUCACAUUUCUUUUCUUUAGAAGCAUUCAUUUUUCUUUUAUCCUAGGUCCACACCGCUGCAUUCACUUUUCUUUUGGAGAAAGUCACGGUGAUUUAUUUUCUUAUGCUGAAGGGAGAGCUUGGUUGCUUUCUUUUCUUUUCUUUUUUUUUUAUUAUGUGGUUUGCUUUAACAAAUUUGGGUGCAACAGCUCCUGUGAAAGGGUAUUUGGAGCAUACGUUGAUUCACAUCUCCAUUUUGUACACACAUGGAAGCAUUUUCAUUCGCUGUUAGUUACUUGGGAGAAGCACAUUCAUUUAAUUUCCAAUUGGAAGUGGAACG
This 525-nucleotide long non-coding RNA is filed under the name Vigna radiata. RNAcentral's name for it is "long non-coding RNA (VRAD_LNC012294)". The record is from RNAcentral. Lineage: Eukaryota; Viridiplantae; Streptophyta; Magnoliopsida; Fabales; Fabaceae.